UGACCUGUGGUGAAAUGGCAUCACAUCGGAUUGUUAAUCCGAAGUUCUCGGUUCGAGACCGAGCGGGUCAG
Molecule: transfer RNA, 71 nt
Filed under: Akkermansiaceae bacterium
Lineage: Bacteria; Pseudomonadati; Verrucomicrobiota; Verrucomicrobiia; Verrucomicrobiales; Akkermansiaceae
Description: tRNA-Asn
Rfam family: tRNA
About the family: Transfer RNA (tRNA) molecules are approximately 80 nucleotides in length. Their secondary structure includes four short double-helical elements and three loops (D, anti-codon, and T loops). Further hydrogen bonds mediate the characteristic L-shaped molecular structure. tRNAs have two regions of fundamental functional importance: the anti-codon, which is responsible for specific mRNA codon recognition, and the 3' end, to which the tRNAs corresponding amino acid is attached (by aminoacyl-tRNA synthetases). tRNAs cope with the degeneracy of the genetic code in two manners: having more than one tRNA (with a specific anti-codon) for a particular amino acid; and 'wobble' base-pairing, i.e. permitting non-standard base-pairing at the 3rd anti-codon position.
Source: RNAcentral